AUGUACGACGAGUACACUCCGGCUCCUCCGCGCCGUCCGCACCCGUCUGACGGCCGCUCGCUACGUUUUGUUAGCG
Molecule: small RNA, 76 nt
Filed under: Dyella terrae
Lineage: Bacteria; Pseudomonadati; Pseudomonadota; Gammaproteobacteria; Lysobacterales; Rhodanobacteraceae
Also listed under: 2 other names
Description: sX9
Rfam family: Xanthomonas sRNA sX9
Source: RNAcentral